CCUACGGGCGGCAGCAGUGAGGAAUAUUGGUCAAUGGACGAGAGUCUGAACCAGCCAAGUAGCGUGAAGGAUGACUGCCCUAUGGGUUGUAAACUUCUUUUAUAAAGGAAUAAAACGAGGCACGUGUGCCUUUUUGCAUGUACUGUAUGAAUAAGGAUCGGCUAACUCCGUGCCAGCAGCCGAGGUAAUACGGAGGAUCCGAGCGUUAUCCGGAUUGAUUGGGUUUAAAGGGAGCGUAGAUGGGUUGUUAAGUCAGUUGUGAAAGUUUGCGGCUCAACCGUAAAAUUGCAAUUGAUACUGGCAGUCUUGAGUACAGUUGAGGUAAGCGGAAUUCGUGGUGUAGCGGUGAAAUGCUUAGAUAUCACGAAGAACCCCGAUUGCGAAGGCAGCUUACUAAACUGUGACUGACAUUGAUGCUCGAAAGUGUGGGUAUCAAACAGGAUUAGAUACCCCAGUAGUC
Molecule: ribosomal RNA, 460 nt
Filed under: uncultured bacterium
Lineage: Bacteria
Description: partial 16S ribosomal RNA
Rfam family: Bacterial small subunit ribosomal RNA
Source: RNAcentral